UAAAGGAAGCGAUUCCGGCUACGGAUGGUCAUGCGUCGCAUUAGCUUGUUGGCGGGGUAACGGCCCACCAAGGCGACGAUGCGUAGGGGUUCUGAGAGGAAGGUCCCCCACACUGGUACUGAGACACGGACCAGACUCCUACGGGAGGCAGCAGUGAGGAAUAUUGGUCAAUGGCCGCAGGGCUGAACCAGCCAAGUCGCGUGAGGGAUGACGGUCCUAUGGAUUGUAAACCUCUUUUGUCAGGGAGCAAAGGGCGCCACGUGUGGCGCUUUGCGAGUACCUGAAGAAAAAGCAUCGGCUAACUCCGUGCCAGCAGCCGCGGUAAUACGGAGGAUGCGAGCGUUAUCCGGAUUUAUUGGGUUUAAAGGGUGCGCAGGCGGAAUGUCAAGUCAGCGGUAAAAUUUCGGGGCUCAACCCCGUCGUGCCGUUGAAACUGGCGUUCUUGAGUGAGCGAGAAGUAUGCGGAAUGCGUGGUGUAGCGGUGAAAUGCAUAGAUAUCACGCAGAACUCCGAUUGCGAAGGCAGCAUACCGGCGCUCAACUGACGCUCAUGCACGAAAGCGUGGGUAUCGAACAGGAUUAGAUACCCUGGUAGUCCACGCAGUA
Molecule: ribosomal RNA, 605 nt
Filed under: uncultured bacterium
Lineage: Bacteria
Description: bacterial SSU rRNA
Rfam family: Bacterial small subunit ribosomal RNA
Source: RNAcentral